This 719-nucleotide ribosomal RNA is filed under the name uncultured Legionella sp. Its description in RNAcentral is "bacterial SSU rRNA". It matches the Rfam family "Bacterial small subunit ribosomal RNA", at positions 55 to 764 of the family's 1533-position model. Lineage: Bacteria; Pseudomonadati; Pseudomonadota; Gammaproteobacteria; Legionellales; Legionellaceae. The record is from RNAcentral.
AUGCAGUCGAACGGCAGCAUAGUCUAGCUUGCUAGACGGGUGGCGAGUGGCGAACGGGUGAGUAACGCGUAGGAAUAUACCUUGAAGAGGGGGACAACUUGGGGAAACUCAAGCUAAUACCGCAUAAUGUCUGAGGACGAAAGCCGGGGACCGUAAGGCCUGGCGCUUUAAGAUUAGCCUGCGUCCGAUUAGCUAGUUGGUAGGGUAAAGGCCUACCAAGGCGACGAUCGGUAGCUGGUCUGAGAGGAUGGCCAGCCACACUGGAACUGAGACACGGUCCAGACUCCUACGGGAGGCAGCAGUGGGGAAUAUUGGACAAUGGGGGCAACCCUGAUCCAGCAAUGCCGCGUGUGUGAAGAAGGCCUGAGGGUUGUAAAGCACUUUCAGUGGGGAGGAGGCUUGUUAGGUUAAGAGCUAGAUAAGUGGACGUUACCCACAGAAGAAGCACCGGCUAACUCCGUGCCAGCAGCCGCGGUAAUACGGAGGGUGCAAGCGUUAAUCGGAAUUACUGGGCGUAAAGAGUGCGUAGGUGGUUUGGUAAGUUAUCUGUGAAAUCCCUGGGCUCAACCUGGGCAGGUCAGAUAAUACUGCUGAACUCGAGUAUGGGAGAGGGUAGUGGAAUUUCCGGUGUAGCGGUGAAAUGCGUAGAGAUCGGAAGGAACACCAGUGGCGAAGGCGGCUACCUGGCCUAAUACUGACACUGAGGCACGAAAGCGUGG